This 849-nucleotide ribosomal RNA is filed under the name Samsoniella kunmingensis. Its description in RNAcentral is "partial large subunit ribosomal RNA". It matches the Rfam family "Eukaryotic large subunit ribosomal RNA", at positions 57 to 938 of the family's 3401-position model. The record is from RNAcentral. Lineage: Eukaryota; Fungi; Ascomycota; Sordariomycetes; Hypocreales; Cordycipitaceae.
AAAAGAAACCAACAGGGAUUGCCCCAGUAACGGCGAGUGAAGCGGCAACAGCUCAAAUUUGAAAUCUGGCCUCCGGGUCCGACUUGUAAUUUGUAGAGGAUGCUUUUGGCGAGGUGCCUUCCGAGUUCCCUGGAACGGGACGCCAUAGAGGGUGAGAGCCCCGUCUGGUCGGACACCGACCCUCUGUAUAGCUCCUUCGACGAGUCGAGUAGUUUGGGAAUGCUGCUCAAAAUGGGAGGUAUAUGUCUUCUAAAGCUAAAUAUUGGCCAGAGACCGAUAGCGCACAAGUAGAGUGAUCGAAAGAUGAAAAGCACUUUGAAAAGAGGGUUAAAAAGUACGUGAAAUUGUUGAAAGGGAAGCGCCUAUGACCAGACUUGGGCCCGGUGAAUCAUCCAGCGUUCUCGCUGGUGCACUUUGCCGGGCACAGGCCAGCAUCAGUUUGGCGCGGGGGAAAAAGGUUUUGGGAAUGUGGCUCCCUCGGGAGUGUUAUAGCCCAUUGCGUAAUACCCUGCGCCGGACUGAGGUACGCGCAUCGCAAGGAUGCUGGCGUAAUGGUCAUCAGCGACCCGUCUUGAAACACGGACCAAGGAGUCGUCUUCGUAUGCGAGUGUUCGGGUGUCAAACCCCUACGCGUAAUGAAAGUGAACGCAGGUGAGAGCUUCGGCGCAUCAUCGACCGAUCCUGAUGUUCUCGGAUGGAUUUGAGUAAGAGCAUACGGGGCCGGACCCGAAAGAAGGUGAACUAUGCCUGUAUAGGGUGAAGCCAGAGGAAACUCUGGUGGAGGCUCGCAGCGGUUCUGACGUGCGAAUCGAUCGUCAAAUAUGGGCAUGGGGGCGAAAGACUAAUCGA